AUGUGCCAAAAAGCUAGAGCGUGUAGGUAAGGUCGAGACAAGAAAAAAAUCGUAUGGGAGGGGGGGGGUGUAACACAAUAACGUGUUACACCUUUUUGUAAAGCCAAAACCCUAGUCUUUUACAAACAUUUUAAAGUUUUUGAAAAAUUAAUUGUUAAAAUAAAAAUUUGGGGACCAGUUUGUCAAUUUGUUAGAAAAUUGCUUCUGCCGCAUUAAUAAUGUCUUCAAACAACUCAGGCAAUCUUUUCAUAUCAUUUAGGAAUUUUUUUUUUUGAAAAAAAAAACCAACAAAACACAAAUUAAAGUCUUAAGUAAUUUAAAUUUUAAAAGCAAAACGGAAGCAGUGCAAUUUUUCAAGCAAUUUUUCAUAGAGACAAGAGUAUUUUUAAAUUACCGACGUUUGUAAGAAAAGAUCAUGAAUAUCGGAUCUGUUUCCGCCCUUUACAACAUUUUUUAGCUUCAGUUACUCCACUAAAUAAUUUUAUUGUUAAAUUAGUACUUUUCUUAACUCUACACAAAUGAAACAACAACAAAAUUAGAAUGUGUAAUUCCUUUCGUUUAUCUACAAGACAUGAAAAAUAAAAGAACUAAAUAAAGGAGGAAUUUAUUUCCUUUUUUUUUCCAAUUUAGUAGGUAUUAAGGUAUUUAAUUUGGUUCUGCAAUAUGGAUCAAAGACAAACCAGAGAUUUGAAUGUUCUCCGUUUCCGCUGUUCUUGAUUUAUAGAUAACACUGGUCAACAAGGUUUUUGUUACAGACACCAAGAUAUACUUUUCUAUACCUAGGUUUUUUGGGUGCUGAGCUCGAAUCCGAAGUCAAAAAAAUUUUAUCACAUCACGUUUUUGAGAUAAUCCCGUUAGAAUAUCGAAACAGACAGAAUACAAGAACAAAUUUCAGAGAUACAGACAAAUAACGAUUCCAACUCAAGAGUCAAGACCGUUAUGCUUAUGAUUUUUUUUUUCUUUUCUAUCCAUACAAAAAGAUCUUCUCGCUCUGUCUGAGGCAGAGCCGUGAAAACACAUGAUACUCACUCUCAAAGACCACGUAAAAGAGAAUCAGAGAAUAAAUAAUCAAAAUUCCAAAGAGAAAUAAAAGCAUUUUAAAAUUUCUCAAGUUUUUAAUUGAAAAGAGCUUUUUUAAAAGCUCUUCAUAGUGGUGAUUUUCAGUUUCAUAUGUCACUUUUUUCUUUAAAGAUGAGAUAUCUGUAUAUAAUUAUUUGUGAUAUCACGUCAAUAACAUUUUGCUUGCAAGAUGGACCUGUCAUUAAAUGAUCAUUCAGAGAGCUUCCAUCAGAUGUUCGAAAAGAAGCGUCGAAAACGACUCGGAGCUUGGUUGUGGAACUGCUUUCUUUCAAUACAGCGUGGUGAGGUAAGAAAUAAUGAUUUUUGUCAACGAGAGAUUCUUUUGCUUCUACCAUGUGACCUAAUUGCAAAUAUUCUUCAAGACACGCUGUGUAUUGGUGACGUAGAUGAUUUUUGUAGCAAGACGUUUUUCCAGGCUCAUAAAACGUUGGAGUGCACCUUCAUAAGACCUUCCUAAUUUUGGAAAUGUGUUUCCUUUAAAUGGAAGAGCCACCUGGGUAUCAAUGGAUUUAUAUGGACAUUCUUCUAUUUCCCAGAAUUUUGGAAUUUGAUUAUCGAUUUUUCUGGUUUGAAGAACACUUCGAACUGGUCCAGGUUCAAGCGGUGCUUUGCCAAAGACAAUCCAACCGAAUCUUGUUUUCUGCGCGAUAGGCAGUGUUUUGUCAUAUAGUCGGAAUAAUUCUGGUAGCAAGAUUUCUGCCAAAACAUCACUGCCCAACAAUAAAUCUAUUUGGGAUGGGAUAUAAAUCUCUGGAUCAGCUAAGUGCAAGUUGUCGAGGUACUUCCAUACUUCCAGCCACUAACCAAAAGCCUACGGGCCGGGAAAUGGCCAGACAGAGACUUAAAAACAAACGCCUCGACGGCAAUUUCAAAGGUUGGAUAAUGUGAUUCAACAACUAUAUCUACUGCUUUCUUACAUGUGCCACUGCUGAGCAUUCCUAGCCCCGAGACAACGACAUGAGUGCUUGGUCUUGGUUUCAUACGCAAAAUCUAAUAGUGCUCGCAGAGUACAAGUUUUCCCUGAAGAUGAUCUCACCUUAACUAUGGCUGUAGCAAGCAGAACAUGAGACGCACUUUGGGAGGAUGCAUGUAGUGAGUUAAUGCCGGUACUCACUGGAUGUUCAAUUUGUGGUUCAAAGGCUAGACCAUCGGGAUUAAUUGUGGAAGCUAGAUAUGUUUGUCGUUGAGGUCCAUGUGCGAAAUUAUUAGAGGGCGAUUGUCUUUGUGUUUGCGAGAAUGAUGAUGAUGGUCGGUGAGAUUAGGUGUAUGGUUUGGGCAUGGGCUGAGAAGGAGUUGUUAUGUGCAACAAAGAAUUAUGCGGUUGUUGGCAAUAAUAGCAUCUAUAAUUACUAGGGCACUGCUCUGAUUUGUGAUUGUAUGCCAAACAAUUAGAACAAAUCCCUAACUUAUCAACAUUCUGCCGGCGAUCAGUAACGCUCAUUUUUAAAAAUCGUUUGCAUUUACGAAUACCUACUAUGUUGUCCUUUGCUGCAAAUUUGGCAUUUGACAAACGACUUUCGUAUCGUUUGUCUGCGAGUGAAAACUGCUUUUAAUGAAUGUAUUGUUUGGUGAUUCUUUCGAUGUUCUGGCUUGCUGAAAAUUCACUUCCUCCAAGGUAAGAAAAUUCAUUUCUAAAAACUAGGAAAUUCUAAGAAGGUAGGUAAUUCUUUUGGUUUUUCCCUAGCUCCUAACCGUUCUUCCCAGAGUUGUUGUGUUUUACUUGGAAGUUUUUGAAGCAAAACGAAAAUUAUAAGAACAUCCCACUCAUCUACCGGUAUAUAUAAAUUUUUUAAACUGUGAAGAACUUCAGUCGAUGUAUCCAACAAAUGCUUUAUUAAUUCGGCUUUUUCUUGAAUAAUUGGAGGAUUAUUAAACAAACAUUUAAGCUGAGUGUUCACCAGAAAUCGCGCAUGAUCGUAUCUUUCAGUGAGAAUGGACCAGGCUUUGACAUAAUUGCCAUUAUCUAUGCUAAGGUGAGAUAAAAGUUUUUGAGCUUCACCUGUAACGCUUGAUUUUAAAUAAUAUUUCAGAUAGUGAACCAUUUUUAUGUAUCAAGGAUACAAAUAGAUCAUGGAAUGGUCUCCACGUGUCGUAGGUGUCUGAAAAGGCCGGAAAAUUGAUUUUUGGUAGUUUAAUUUCUACUCUGGAUGAGGAAACAUGGUUUAUCUUUUUUGAAGCUUUCUUUAAACUGAUCGGUGGCGUCUAACAAAUCGCCAUGGUAUGCUCAAUGCCAUUGCGCAGUUUAUUAGUGUUUUGAUUUGUCGUGCAGCCGAAAAUAAAGGAUAUGGAUUCAAGAAGUUUUGCAGCCAAUUCAGUUCAGCUGAUCCAAGGCAAAAAAUGAAUUGGGAUGAUCAAUCUUUGCUACUUUAACCGAUGUAGCCCCAGAACAAUUUGUCGCACAAAUGUAUUUGUGAAAUGUUGAAAUGCUGUACCCUAAGUCAGUAGAAAUAUAUGGCUACUCAAAUGAUCUAUACUUAAUAUUCUUAUGGGAAUGACCUAUUUGGUGCAAUACAAAUAAUGAAAAUAUAAUCAAUUCCUUUGGUCUUUUCAAGCUUUUGCCGUCAGGAAUCUGAAAAGUUCGUCCGCAAGUUUUUAAAAUUUUGGAGAGCAUGGCCCGACUAAACUCAUCAAAAACUCGUUUGUUGUUGUACUUUUAUUUUGCUCUGUUGGAUAGCUCGGUGCGUGGCGUACAUUGGCUUGUUGUUGCGCUUGUCAAGCAAAAGCUUGUUGAAUCCAUUAUUUAGGUUGUCUUCAAUUUGAUGGCCACUGAACCAGAAUCAGUGAAUAUUUUCUUGAUGAAAUCGAUUCCAACCCAAUGACAACUGCAACUCAAUCAAUAGAUCAACUAACAUGGCCUGUUAUGGAUUCGAGAUUUAAGUGUCUUGUCGGGCAGAAAAAAUGAAUUCAGUUUAACUGUUGAUAUUAUGUUUUUUGAAGAAUAUAUGAAUAAAUAAUAAAAAAAUGUUGAGCUAUAUCGAGAAUUUUCAGCGGUGUUAUUGCAUUAUGGUUUUGGAUUUCUAUUUGUAGGUAAUGGUGGAGUUGGUUUUGGAAGCAGACAGUUAUAUAUUGGUAGUUUUGGCCAUGGCAUUCAUGUUAAAUUAAACAAUAAAUAUGUAUAUUUGCUUUCAAUUACCUUAACUAAAAAAACCUUGAAUAUUAUUUUAUCCCAUUAGCAUGACUCGAGGUCCUGUAGUUCGUGCGCUACGUUGACUUGUUAUUGUCGAGUAAAUCUUAGUAAUCAUUAUGAACUUGGAGAGCUUUAACCACACAUAGGUAAGUUGUAAUAGAAAUCAACAAGUAUAAUAUUCAAAAUAGCAGAUAUUUUGUGAAAUACAAAUUUUUAUUCAUACAAUGCAAUUCUACCUUCUACAUGUUUUAGAUCUACUAGGGUAUCUACUUUUUUGGUUAAUGCAGGAAACUGAGAAGUCUGCCUUCUUAUCCUUUUGGUUUGAGGGUAUAUUCUUUACACAAAUAAAGUUGAUUUAACGGAGCUACAUGCGACAAAAUUUACUUGAUCGGUCCGCGGAUAUAAACAGAACUCUACAAAUGAAAAACAAUUACAAAAAGGGAAACCUACACUAUCUCCAAAAAAAAAAAUCUCAAUCGGAUAAAAUCUCCAGAAAAUUUUUGACCCCAUGGACAAAAUCUCCAUGGGGAAAGGGAUCCAAUCGACAAAUUCUCCAAUAAAUAAUUUUUUCUCCCAUUUUCUCCAAAUCCCCAAAAAUCUCCAAAUAGCAAAAACAAAAACGUAAUAGAAUGAUAAAAAAACACUGUAAAGCAAAGUAAAAUCAGGUCUAAACACGACAAUUUUAAAAUCAUAAAGGUUCCUCUUUUAAAACGGAACACAAAAAAUAAAUUAUGUAAACAACCGUCACAUGAACCUUCGUUGUUGGAACUACCAUUCGUGUGCCUUAACAAUGAUUCUUAAAUACUGGAAGGAUACAGCAAGUUGAACUAAGCAUAAUCUUUUGAGGCAAGUUAUCACAGCUUACAAUUAAAUACGAGUAAAAAUAGGUCUUUCCAAAAUGAAGAUGCGCAAGUUGUGUCUGAAAUUUUGGGAUUUUCGCUCGGAGAUUUUUUUUUUUGGAGAUUUUUUCCUGGAGAUUUUGUCUAUACCCAGGUCUGUCUUGGGGAUUUUGGCUUUGGGGAUUUUCUCUUUGGGAUUAUGGGUUUUGGUCAUUCAUCACCAACCCACAAAGGGAAACCUACACUAUCUCCAAAAAAAAAAAUCUCAAUCGGAUAAAAUCUCCAGAAAAUUUUUGACCCCAUGGACAAAAUCUCCAUGGGGAAAGGGAUCCAAUGGACAAAAUCUCCAAUAAAUAAUUUUUUCUCCCAUUUUCUCCAAAUCCCCAAAAAUCUCCAAAUAGCAAAAACAAAAACGUAAUAGAAUGAUAAAAAAACACUGUAAGGCAAAGUAAAAUCAGGUCUAAACACGACAAUUUUAAAAUCAUAAAGGUUCCUCUUUUAAAACGGAACACAAAAAAUAAAUUAUGUAAACAACCGUCACAUGAACCUUCGUUGUUGGAACUACCAUUCGUGUGCCUUAACAAUGAUUCUUAAAUACUGGAAGGAUACAGCAAGUUGAACUAAGCAUAAUCUUUUGAGGCAAGUUAUCACAGCUUACAAUUAAAUAUGAGUAAAAAUAGGUCUUUCCAAAAUGAAGAUGCGCAAGUUGUGUCUGAAAUUUUGGGAUUUUCGCUCGGAGAUUUUUUUUUUUGGAGAUUUUUUCCUGGAGAUUUUGUCUAUACCCAGGUCUGUCUUGGGGAUUUUGGCUUUGGGGAUUUUCUCUUUGGGAUUAUGGGUUUUGGUCAUUCAUCACCAACCCUUACAAAAAGUGUUGGGUUGGAAAACAAAAUAAACUCACUUUUAGGUCAUUACAAUAAGUAUUCCAUUCUGCGAAUAAGUCAAUCUGCACAAAAACCACUUUAAGCAACUGUACCAGUCAUAUGACUAUCCAAUACUCCGUCACCUGAAUUUAAAACAGACUCAGACCACUUAUGUCCGGGAGUCAAAAGGUAGUCAUAAAUACGUUCCAAUUAGUAGGUAAUCGUAGUUUCCAUACCCCCAAAACAUUAUUGCACCAGCAUCAGGAAUCAAGGCCAAAGUUUCAAGUAUUCCUAACUGAUUUGGCUAAGGUCCAACAGGGAUUCGAUUGCCUGUUGAAUAUAAUCUCACAGUGAGCCUGAACAAGUUUAAGGUUGACCUAAAAUGACGACAAAAACAAUAAUAAUCCGUUUUUACCAAAAUCCGACUAGCUUCCUUUUUCGAGAUACCCGCCGUAAACAAUUUUUUUUUCGAAAAAAAUUCAUAUCAACGCAAGGCUCGAGUACGAUAACUUAGGCACCGAGAAUUGAAAACGGUUUUUGUAGAGGUAUUCAAUACAUUCAUUUUUUGUUACAUUACAUUUAAUUUGAGUUUUUAAAUCAAGAUCUUUUAAUCAGUAGUUUUCGAAAUAAUCAAUAGUGUCAAAAAAUUUACAAGGUGCUAAAUAUUUAACGCAGUUCACACACGGCCUAAGACAAAGAUAAAGGCAAAACAUUAUACAAAGUAAAAAUGACAUUAAACUAGUACAAAUGAUGAAUACAAAAAAUGACAUUUAUGAUAUGGGGGCAUUAAAAAACAUCUGUUUAAUGUGAAUGCAUUCAGUGUGCUCCACUUGGUGACGUCAUAUUCUCUAACAAACACUUUAUUUCACUUUUUACUGUACUCUUUCACUUUCAAAAUUAAACUGUAGGUAUCCAGUCGGGGUCCGCGCUGCCCUUUUAUACCUGAAUUUCGAGAUUCGAGAAUGUCUUCGAAGGUUCUCGUCUCGCUUCUUUCAUCGCUUCUUUCACCAUUGUAACGAUGUAAACGGUCACAAUGAACUACCUUUAGUUUGCCUCUUACCCCUCCCAACUAGCACAACAGCUUCUAUAAAUUUGAGUCUCGCAGGCACUGCUUUUUAUACAGCUUGUAUUGAGCUUGCAUCAGAAUUUAAUUGCUUAUAAAAGUUCGAACUUGUUUAACAAAUUCUAAUAAGUUGUUUAAAUACUUUUAAAGACUCUUAAACGAAGAAAGCUCGUUUUUCGGAUAAGCCUGUUAAAUUAAUUUAUAGAAGCUUUACAGAAAUUACCAAGUUUUGUAUUCGAUUUUUGGUUUU
This is a long non-coding RNA of Episyrphus balteatus (marmalade hoverfly), 7219 nucleotides long. RefSeq lists it as uncharacterized. The record is from RefSeq and is a predicted model, not a curated record. Lineage: Eukaryota; Metazoa; Arthropoda; Insecta; Diptera; Syrphidae. The transcript is spliced from 5 exons.